This 373-nucleotide unclassified non-coding RNA is filed under the name fungal sp. RNAcentral's name for it is "partial internal transcribed spacer region". The stretch from base 1 to 46 matches the Rfam family "Eukaryotic small subunit ribosomal RNA", at positions 1786 to 1831 of the family's 1831-position model. Lineage: Eukaryota; Fungi. The record is from RNAcentral.
AAGUCGUAACAAGGUUUCCGUAGGUGAACCUGCGGAAGGAUCAUUACCAAUUUUACCCCAAAGAAGGAGGAUCAAGGCGUGGGCAAGGGCAACUGCGCCCGCCCUUUUUCCUUCUUUUUUUUCCAACCAACCUUUGAUUGUGAACCAUGAACAAAACCAUACAAAGCCGUCAUCUUGUCAUCAUGUAUCAUGAUGAUGAUGAUGAUGAUGUGUUUUGUAAAUUUAUUAAACCCCAACCAAAUCGACGACCCGCAUGAUGCACACACACGUCCGUGUGUGUGUGUGGGUGCGUGCGUUGAGAAAAGCAACACUUGUCCGAGACAAAUGUUGAAAAUUCUAUAUACAACUUUUAACGGCGGAUCUCUUGGCUCGU